Long non-coding RNA from Peromyscus californicus insignis, 8242 nucleotides. RefSeq lists it as uncharacterized. The record is from RefSeq and is a predicted model, not a curated record. Lineage: Eukaryota; Metazoa; Chordata; Mammalia; Rodentia; Cricetidae. The transcript has 2 exons.
AGGAGCGGGGCGGAACCGUUCUGGCGCGGCGCCCACCUUGCGGGACGGACCGGCGGGCGGGCGGGCGGGCGGAGGGACCGGGCCGUCGGACCCCGGCUCGGGCGAGCCCGCAUCCCGCCCGCGAUGCUGGUGGGCAGCGGGCCGAGCUGGCGUGGGCGCCCGCGCCGCAGUCUCUAUCGCCCGCUGCGGCGGGACUCCAGGGAGCUUUCCCCGGGGAGCCGGCACCGCCCCCCCCCCCACGCGUGACGGGCCUGGCGUCGCCGGGAGCUGCGAGGCGGUGGGCCCCCCCAGGACCGUGGGCGGAGACGGGACACGCGUGCGCACCCACGGGCGGGCUGGGCUCCACGCGGCGUGACGCGCGGUUCCGUUAUCCUCCCGGCGGGUUCUGGUGGGAGGGGAGAGGAGCGGAGCGGGGGACCCGAUCGGGGGGGUCAUUGGUGGCGGAGAUGCAGAAGAAGGGAGACUGCGUGAGGAGCACACGUUCGGGGUGGGGGGAAAGAAGUCAGUCAACGUCUGUUUCUGCGCACUUGGGGGGAAGAAAAAAAAAAGCAGUGCGCCAGAAAAAGGGCUUUCUUUCUAUGCAGGAUGACGGAGUUCUGCCUUUUACAUUUGUUUGGGAAACAGUUUUCUGAAUUGCAGCAAUGAAGUCCUGUGAUUUACAGGAGCUGUCAGUCAUUAAGUCUGCAUCAUCCAUGUUUUGUUGCGAGUUCUUUAUAACGUGCACCAUUAAAAUGUAGACAAGAUUAUCAAAUUAGCCUUGUUGAGAGUUGUCCCUGCCUAUGAUUUUCUGUGAAUCAUGUCACUGUAUUUUAAAUGUGAACGUAAGUAGGUGUUUUUGGUUUUUGGUUUUUUUUUUUAACUUUGCUUUACACAAAUUCUAAAGAGCAUUGUUAAGAUUGUGUUGUACCAAAUGUAUUUGAAGCAAUUUCAAAUGCUCUUUCAUAGCCAGUAGCUUCUAGCAAUUUCAUUGAAAGACCACUGGGUUUGUUUUUUGUUUUUAAUUAAGUUACUUUGAUAAAGCAAAUGAAUUUGCCUUGAUGGACAACGUUAAAAACACAUAAGUCAAAUAAUUUGAAUUUCCAACAAUAACUAUAAUAGUCCUUAGUACUGUAGAAUAUUCACCUUAUUAUCUCUUUAAACAAAUUAUGUAAAUGUAUGAAAUAGCAAUUUGAUCAAAGGCUGUUUUACUUUUUCUAAAUAUGUUUCUUCAGAACCUAGAAAAAUGAGAAGUUUGUGUCUUGCAUAUUAUUAAAAAAUAUUUUGUUGCUGAAUUAUUCAUGGGCUCUACGUGUGCAAGAUGAAGUCCCUUUCUAAGGUGGUUUACUUAACUUCCUGGGCCCUGUGCUGACUGCUGCGCCUCUACAGUUCAGUCAAUCAGAGCAGGCCUGUGGCUUAGGUACUACUGGCAUCCCCAUUACAUAAAAGGAAACCCCGAAGAGGAAGAGGUAAACUCAAUAUUUACACAGCACUGUAGCUAAUGAGUCCUGUCUGCCGUUCAGUCCAAUUAUAUUUUAUUCCAGAGUGCCGUUCCCACUUUACCACCCGUAUCCAGUCCAUUGAACCCAUGAUAGUGUUCCAUCAUUUUUGACCCGUAGGUUCAGCCACUUUUAUAGUGUAGUUGAGACAAAAAUGACACUGUCGGGCAUCUUCAUUCCCACGGAUUAAUCCCUGCUGGGCCCGUCGUUGGUAUAGCUGCUAUGGAGUGCAGAGUAAGGGCUUAAAGUACAUGUGGAUCCCUCCCCUGCUCAGUUUUCCCUGAUUUCUCAGGUAAGGAAAAAAGAGAGUUUACCAUGACCUGCCAGGCCCCAAGUGCUCUGCUCUUCUGCAUGUUGCUGGCCAACCUCACUUCAUGGAUUCUAGUCUCCCUGGGACCCACCUUGACCUCUCCACCUGCUUGACAUCUGUAGUACUCUGGACUUGGAAUCCCCCUUGGAAAGCUCUUCCACUCCAAGUCUCAUGCCACCACAACUCUAUGUUAAGUUUUCAGGUCAAAUUUUUCUCACACGCCAUGUCAGAUCUGUGGGUCAGUUUUUUUACCAUCAGAGUAAAGACUUCACUUUGUUCCUUUUAGAAUUCCUAACCCCCACAACAGCACAUGAUGUUUGUAGGUUUCCGUGACAAGCAUGUUCAGAGAGGAGUGUCAGGGACUUGGUGCAUACCAGAGGUCCAGAUUCUUACCUAGAUUAUUUCUUUCAGGUCUCACCCAACAUGUCGGGGAGGCGUGAGUAGCCCUAUCUGAGAGAUGAGAUGGUUGGCUGCCUGAGAAUAGUUUGGUGGCUAGUGGAGGGCUGUACAAGUACACAUGCUGUCUUUGGAGCCACUGCCCUUUCCCGGGUGUCCAUCCACAGGAAAGAUCCCUCCUUUAUCUGUCUUACACUCCUGUUUCUGCACAUUGUGGACAUCUUAUAAUAUUCAUCACUCAAAAUGAUGAAUGCAGUGUAGACCACAAAGUUUGUUGGGAUGUGCACCUUUCAGCCUUAUCAUUUUAACAAUUAUUAUAGAUCCUUUAGUUCUGUUAUUACAAACAUAUCUUCAUACAGUAUUCAAAAUGAGCAGGAUAAAUAUACAUGCCGCUGUGUAUACACAGGUCCUUGUGAAGGUCCUUGUCAUAGCUAUUUCAGUGAAAAAGCAUGUCAUCUACUCUAUUGACACUAAAAUUGGCUCUUCAUUCUAACACUGUAAUUAGCCAGGAGUGGAAAUGCACUUUCUGUUCUCUUAGUUUCAUUGGCCCUACCAGCUUGCUGCAUUUCUUGACAUUUAAAAUAAAAACUUACAGUAUCCAAGCACUUCUGUCUUUAUCACCAUGGCGUCUUUACAAGAGCUAAAAAGUAUUUUAAACUUCAGAUUCAAUGUUUGAUGCCUUGGUUCCAAUAUUCUUUAUAAAAAAUAAUUUAAAUUUCCAUUAAAGGAAUGGGGGAGUCUAGGUAUGUUAGUAUACUUUACAGAACUUUUGAGUGGCCUCUUCAUUGUUGAGAGGUUUAUCAGAUACUAUUGGAAACAUUGAAAAUGAUCGAGGACUCUGGUGAACUUCAAAUGUCAGAUAACUAUGUAGAUUAGGGCCUUGGGGGCUGUUUUUGUUGUUGUUGGGGGGGCGUGUCUUUUGGUUUUUAGCAUGCCUUCUUUUCACUGAGGCAUGUUUGUGUCUCUUGUAAGAUGGGAAGCUCAGCCCCCUGAGCUGCUGUAGAAUGAUUGUGCCGCCUUUAGACCACUAAUGAGUCCCUUCCAGAUGUAGCACCAGCAUCCAGCUUCCACCCGUGCCCAGCAGUUAAAUAUUAACUGGCAGUGUAAGGUUUCUGUUCAUCUGACCCUGUGGAGGUAAAAACACUCAGGCAGGAUGCAGGCCCUCGCGCUCUGUAAUCUGACCUUCAUUCCACGUUUAAACAGAUCUCCGAGGAAAAAAUAACUGUUAAUUAUAGGACUGCGAGAAUGAGCUUCAGAUGCCCUCUGUUUUGAUCGGUUCUCAUACUGACUCACGGCAUUAAUUUCAGUAGUGCUUCUCUGGAUUGGGCUAAUUUCAUGUUUUUUUCUCUUCAGGAUCUAGGUCCCUCAGAAUGAGUCAGUGGUGAGGUUAUUUUAGCAUGUUCCAUAGAUACCAUUUGUUUCCCAGUGUGUUAAUGUUAAACAGCUAAUGUGGCUAAACACUUUAUAAGCAAAGGAUAUAACUACUCCUGUCAUCCCCAGACAUUUAAUCAAAUGCCAUUAUCCUUACUACAACUUAGAGGCUGAAUGUAUCUCUCUAGUAAUUGUGGCAUAAGUGACUUCUAAACUGAGUUCCCAGAAGGUCAGUGAGAGACGGAAAGGAACCCUCUGGGGUGUCCGGCACUUUGGUUAUUUCAGUACACUGCAGCCCUGAGUUGAUAAUUGCCUCCGUUUUACAGUUGAAGACAGUAAGGUUCAGAAUGACUAGUCUCUCGGUCCGUAAAUCCUGGAGGCAGGGUUCUUGUCAGACCUUCCAAGUGGACAUGUGGCUGCCCCUUCCAUAAGGCUGGACUGGAGGAGCUCUGGUUUCUGGUUCCGGAUUGUCUUCACCGAGAAGAGCAGAUUGCUGUUGUAUAGUCUCUGUGGUGACCCUCUAAGCAGAUGACAAGAAAUGCAUUUAAAGCCAUCAGCAGGCUGAGGACAGAACUCAAACAGAGCAACCUGCCUCCUGGACAAGAAGUACUGGGUCGCAUCCCCAGCACUGCAAAAACAAACAUCUUUACGUGUCCAAUUUUGUACUCCAAAAUCUUUUUUUAAGAUAUUUAACUGUUUUCAUUUCCCUUAGAUGUGUAAUACUUAAGGCUGGAAGCUUUAUAUUUUUACAUUUUCCAAAAACAAAUUUCCCACCCAACACAUCAUAACUUUAUAGCGUAACUUGGUAACAGUGGAACACUAAGACCCUUCCUGAAGAAAUCUAUUGCAGGCAGAACAGAAGGACCCCUUGAAGGCGGGAGCUGAGCUUUGCUCCUGCUGUUCCCUUCUUCACAGGGAGCCCACUUCCCACAGCUACUCUGAGUAUCCUUAUAAGACCAUGUAGACAAACUUGAAAUGAGGAUGCUGGCGGAGCAGCUUCCGGGAGUCCAAAAGGUUUCUCUGCCUUCACUACAGGGAAAUAGAAGGUCUGAGAGUUGGCUCCAUGCGUUCAGUAUUUCCAGGGAUUUUCAGGGCUGGAGAUCAAUUGUUCUACCAAUGAACCGGACCCCCACUCCUUUUUAUUGGGCGGGGAGGAAGGGUGAUGCACCUAUGUACCAUGUGUGUGGGGUAAGAGGGUAGCUUUGAAGAAUCUCAUCACCUUCCUCUUGAGGCAAGGCCCCCCUUGUUUUCCCUGCUGGCUCUCCAGGAGAGCUCACAGGCUUGCAGACCAUUCCUUCCACCUUCUAUCUGCUGGGACAAGUACUAAGAUUACAGAUGCAGGUUAUACUAGCCAGCUUUUUUUUUUUAUUUUAAAAUCUGGAUUCUAGGGAUCAACUCAGGUCAUGGGGCUUGCAGGGCAUGUUCUUUUCCCACACUACCUCCCCACCCCACCUCCCUUUUUAUGAGACAGUUUCCUUAGCUCAGGCUGGCCUUGGUCUUCCAGACAGGCCGCACACUGGUAAUCCUGCCCCUACUUCCCAGUUACUGGGAUGAGAGGUGUGUGUCCCAUCCCUAGCUCGAUUCAGUGAUUCUUUGGAAUAUAAGAGAUUUGUCUUAAUAAGAUAUAUCUGUGGUCCCCCUAAAUCUGUAACAGCUCAGAGAUAAGUUACCUCUAAUUUCAGCAUUAAAGGGGAACUGGUGUACAGUGAUGUUACUUCCCUGUUACUUUCCCUUUAUAAUGUGUUUGAAGGUUGUGAGAUGUCAUGUGGUGCUGGGAACCACCAGGUUCUCUGAGAGCAGCAAGUGUUCUCAACUGUCUUCCCAGCCCUCAUCAUUAUGUAUUUGAAUAUAAGAUUAAAAGCAGUUAUUCACAGCCCUGAUACUUAUUCAAUACAGCUUUAUAAGCUUUCAAAUGGUGUUGUUUUGUUUGAUUUUUGAGACAAGGUCUGUAGCCAAAGCUGCGUAGCCUAGAUCAACCUUGAACUCAGUACAACUCUUCUGCUGAAUUUUGAAAGAUUGGCAUACCACUCUUUGCUACAGGCUGAGCCAUGCAGUAUAUCCCAUCUCCUUGUACCCCCAGGCUCUUCCUGGAGCCCUGCAGCCUAAGGUAGAAUCUGCCUUCCAGGGCUUGGGGACAUGCUCAUCCUAGCAUUCUUUAGAAACUUUUUAGUAUUGCCUCUUUGUAUCAGUCUCUACAUACUUGGAAAACUAUUUUGUUUGUAUGUUCAUUAAACCUGGAUUUACUAGGUUUUACAAAUUACAGUGAAGGUAGAUAAUAUUUUGUCAAAAGUAUGAACAGUUUCUUUAGGUACAUAUCCCAGUUUAGAAAGAAGAUUAAAGAAGGGCCCUUACCCUAUUCCAAUGGAAUGCCGAAACCUUAACCCUUCAGCAUUGUCCUCUGCUUCUCCCAGGUUAAUAAUUGCAGAAAUGGGUUGUUGGUAGAGUUAAAUGCUAAUUAACCACCACAGUGUGUGUGUUCAGCAGCUUACAGCCCUGCCUUAGCGGCCCUCAUCCCCCUGCUGAGCCACACCAUGGUGCCAGCAUCUACCGUUUCCUCAUCAUUCUGUCCAGGCCAAUCAUCAGAUCUGUACUGUUAUGUAAGUAGACUUUAAGGGCCACCAACUUGAAUAAUCAUCACUAAUUGCGCCGUGUUUCUCUGAACAGCUGUGGAUAGCAUUGUUUUUGCAUGGAAAUAAAACGUGGCAUGGGAAAAUGAGUAACACUUUUUGUCUAACAGUUCCACACUGUGUGCCCUAUAUUUAUAGUGUGUGUCUGGAAUUAAGUAGCAGUGAGAAACUGCAAGCUCAAACUGUGGCAGACAGUGGGAUGGGGUGGCACCCAUGGAGUAGGAUUCUGGGUCCAGAUACAGCUGUCCGGGGAUUAGGACGACCGUGGGGCGGAACUAGGAAAAGAAACGACUCAGCUGUGAAAUCAGGACCGAGAAGAAGGAGCAAGGGGUUUAAAGACAGCCUUGUAGCUCUCAUCAGCUGAUGCGCCUCUAGUUCCCCUCCGAACAGCUAGGCAGGCCGCUGGUGGGCAGCGACAGUAGACCUUUCCUUGUGCCAGGUUCCUGACCUCUGUGGCCCAAUGGCCAGACUUGACUUUCUCUUCCCCCUCAGCUGACCAGGUUUCAACACUACAGCUGGGCCUCUGCCUAGCUUCAUGAACAGUAUUGGCCCCAGCCAGGCUCUGACACUUCUCCAGAUGGGGGCAGGGCGCAGACACUAAGUCUGCAAUGGUGAGAGGUAACAGCCAAGUCCCAGUCGCUCAGUAGUGAACGACACAGGGGUGAGGAGCACUUCCAUGUUUGAGCUCUUCUAGUACGUGUCUCCCUCUGCGCUGGAUGGUAACACUGCAGCCCACAGCACCUCCAUUUGCCAAGUCCUCAGCACUGCUUGCCCCCGGGUGAUGUGGGUGUACUGCCAUCUUUAAGCCCUGAUUCAUAAGGCAAAAGUCUUGAAAUGUUCUUCCCGGGGAAUGAGUGUGUCACCCAGCCCAAGGGUCCAAAAAAAGCAGCAGAGGAGGGCCCAGGUUCAAAUCCCAGACUGAUGUGUGAAAAGUGGCAACAUAAAUAUAUCAGGGUUACAUGAGUGCAUGCCUCUGUUUCCCAUUGCUACCAAAAACACAUACAAAGCAACAUUAGGGAUUUCUUUGAGCUCACAGUUUGAGGGUUCACAUUACUGCAAGGCAGUCACAGCAGCGGGGAGUGGGACUGCUGGUCCUAGUGCAUCCACAGUCAGGAAGCAGAGAGGGAUUGCCAGGGCUCAGCUGGCUGUCUCCUUUUUAUUCAGUUGGUCUGAGAGCCCCAGCCCAAGAAACGGUGCCACAUACAUUUGGUGGGUCUUCCCACCUCCAUUAACUCAAUGUAGAAAUUCUGUCACUGACAGACAGAAAUGUGUCCCCUAGGAAAUUCUAAAUCCCAUCAAGGUAACUAGAUUAAGUACCACACACUAAAUUUUCAAUCAAUAUUACCAUUUUAUAAAUCAAAAGGGACCUGCAUAAGCUCAUAUUGGUCAGCAUGCAUGUGUUUUGGAAUAUUUGUAAAUAUCUCUUCAGUACAUAGAAAUUUUAUUCACACAGCUCAAAAUCCGCGGUCAUCAUUUUUCUGUGGCUUCCAAUUGCAUAAACCACUUCCUACUGCUGAUGCAGGAGGUAAAAGGUCCACAGCCUGUUGGGAAGGAGCUUAGACCCCAGCUGCCUAUGCUGUCUGAAGCAACAGCUUCUCAGAAAGCUGGCCAGUUCUUUAACUCUCCACUACUGGAUGGCAGAAGCAAUCUGCAGUGGUUAGGUAGAGGCUUCUGCGCCCCCACCACUGCCCUGGAAGCAACUGGCCAGUUCCUAGAGGGGUGUAGAAGAUCGUAUCUUCUAGAGAGCUCAGUAGGUAAGUGGACAACUGCCGUCCUCCAAGCUGUGCUGGGACUCACCACACCACAGUGUAGAUGCCACAGGGGUACUGCAUCACUGACCCAGUGGCCUGGUGACAGGAACCAGAGGUGAAAUGGAGACAUCGGGCAUGCUGACCCAGGCUUGUGAUCUCAGCUACUUGAGAUGCUGAGACAGGAGGACCAAGAAGAGUUCAAGGCCUGUCUGGACUACGGAGUGAGUUUAAGGCCAGAUGGGUAAUUUAGAUCCCAUCUUGAUCUUAAAAAAAAAAAAAAGAUCAAGAAUUUACCUCAGUGGUAAAGUGCCU